AUAGAUUGAGCUCGGGUCAGAGUGAGCGCGGGCGGCACGCGUAUCACACGCAAAUCUGACGGUAGCGCACAGGAGGCUGGUCCUUGGGUGACGAGUGGCGGACGGGUGAGUAAUGUCUGGGGAUCUGCCCGAUAGAGGGGGAUAACCACUGGAAACGGUGGCUAAUACCGCAUAACGUCGCAAGACCAAAGAGGGGGACCUUCGGGCCUCUCACUAUCGGAUGAACCCAGAUGGGAUUAGCUAGUAGGCGGGGUAAUGGCCCACCUAGGCGACGAUCCCUAGCUGGUCUGAGAGGAUGACCAGCCACACUGGAACUGAGACACGGUCCAGACUCCUACGGGAGGCAGCAGUGGGGAAUAUUGCACAAUGGGCGCAAGCCUGAUGCAGCCAUGCCGCGUGUAUGAAGAAGGCCUUCGGGUUGUAAAGUACUUUCAGCGGGGAGGAAGGCGAUGCGGUUAAUAACCGCGUCGAUUGACGUUACCCGCAGAAGAAGCACCGGCUAACUCCGUGCCAGCAGCCGCGGUAAUACGGAGGGUGCAAGCGUUAAUCGGAAUUACUGGGCGUAAAGCGCACGCAGGCGGUCUGUUAAGUCAGAUGUGAAAUCCCCGGGCUUAACCUGGGAACUGCAUUUGAAACUGGCAGGCUUGAGUCUUGUAGAGGGGGGUAGAAUUCCAGGUGUAGCGGGAAAUGCGUAGAGAUCGGAGGAAUACCGGUGGCGAAGGCGGCCCCCGGACAAAGACGACGUCAGGUGGAAAGCUGAGCAAACUU
This 768-nucleotide ribosomal RNA is filed under the name Pantoea vagans. Its description in RNAcentral is "bacterial SSU rRNA". It matches the Rfam family "Bacterial small subunit ribosomal RNA", at positions 1 to 771 of the family's 1533-position model. Lineage: Bacteria; Pseudomonadati; Pseudomonadota; Gammaproteobacteria; Enterobacterales; Erwiniaceae. The record is from RNAcentral.